This is a non-coding RNA of Armillaria mellea, 91 nucleotides long. Lineage: Eukaryota; Fungi; Basidiomycota; Agaricomycetes; Agaricales; Physalacriaceae. The record is from the annotation of a GenBank genome assembly.
UCUCUGAUAGUCUAUUGGUUAGUACACGCGCCUGUCAUGUCGGAUCCUGAUGAAUACGCGCGAAGGCUGGGUUCGACUCCCAGUCAGAGAG